CAAUAGCGUAUAUUAAAGUUGUUGCGGUUAAAAGCUCGUAGUUGGAUUUCUGCUGAGGACGACCGGUCCGCCCUCUGGGUGAGUAUCUGGUUCGGCCUGGGCAUCUUCUUGGAGAGCGUAGCUGCACUUGACUGUGUGGUGCGGUACUCCGAGGUACUUUUACUUGAAGGAAUUAGAGUGUUUCAAGCAGGCACACGCCUUGAAUACAUUAGCAUGGAAUAAUAAGAUAGGACCUCGGUUCUAUUUUGUUGGUUUCUAGAGCUGAGGUAAUGAUUAAUAGGGAUAGUUGGGGCGAUUCGUAUUUAACUGUCAGAGGUGAAAUU
RNAcentral lists this ribosomal RNA (323 nucleotides) under uncultured eukaryote. Its description in RNAcentral is "SSU rRNA". It matches the Rfam family "Eukaryotic small subunit ribosomal RNA", at positions 592 to 918 of the family's 1831-position model. The record is from RNAcentral.